GACGAACGCUGGCGGCGUGCUUAACACAUGCAAGUCGAACGGAAAGGCCCUGCUUUUGUGGGGUGCUCGAGUGGCGAACGGGUGAGUAACACGUGAGUAACCUGCCCUUGACUUUGGGAUAACUUCAGGAAACUGGGGCUAAUACCGGAUAGGAGCUCCUGCUGCAUGGUGGGGGUUGGAAAGUUUCGGCGGUUGGGGAUGGACUCGCAGCUUAUCAGCUUGUUGGUGGGGUAGUGGCUUACCAAGGCUUUGACGGGUAGCCGGCCUGGGAGGGUUACCGGCCACAUUGGGACUGAGAUACGGCGCAGACUCCUACGGGACGCAGCAGUGGGGAAUCUUGCAGAAUGGGCGGAAGCCUGAUGCAGCAACGCCGCGUGCGGGAUGACGGCCUUCGGGUUGUAAACCGAUUUGGCAUGUGCUGAAGCGUGAGUGACGGUAAUGGGUAAAGAAGCAACGGCUAACUACGUG
Molecule: ribosomal RNA, 468 nt
Filed under: uncultured bacterium
Lineage: Bacteria
Description: partial 16S ribosomal RNA
Rfam family: Bacterial small subunit ribosomal RNA
Source: RNAcentral